Molecule: long non-coding RNA, 155 nt
Organism: Saccostrea echinata
Lineage: Eukaryota; Metazoa; Mollusca; Bivalvia; Ostreida; Ostreidae
Exons: 3
Source: RefSeq, a predicted model, not a curated record
ACAUCUAAACACUUGACCAUGAUUCGAUCUCUCUUUUUCCUUGCUUUGGCACUAUGUGCUGUUAAUGCCAAAUACUUUGGAGGAGGAUAUGGAGGACUAGGCGGAUAUGGAGGUUUAGGAGGCGGAUAUGGAGGUUUAGGAGGUGGAUAUGGAGG